RNAcentral lists this ribosomal RNA (500 nucleotides) under uncultured Chrysophyceae. RNAcentral describes it as "SSU rRNA". It matches the Rfam family "Eukaryotic small subunit ribosomal RNA", at positions 1273 to 1796 of the family's 1831-position model. The record is from RNAcentral. Lineage: Eukaryota; Chrysophyceae.
GGUGGUGGUGCAUGGCCGUUCUUAGUUGGUGGAGUGAUUUGUCUGGUUAAUUCCGUUAACGAACGAGACCCCCGCCUGCUAAAUAGUAUGUUGAAUACUUAGUAUUGAAUUGUGCUUCUUAGAGGGACUUUUGGUGACUAACCAAAGGAAGUUGGGGGCAAUAACAGGUCUGUGAUGCCCUUAGAUGUCCUGGGCCGCACGCGCGCUACACUGACACACGCAACGAGUUUUACUUGUCCGAAAGGUCUGGUUAAUCUUUUAAAUGUGUGUCGUGAUAGGGAUAGAUUAUUGCAAUUAUUAAUCUUGAACGAGGAAUUCCUAGUAAACGCAAGUCAUCAGCUUGCAUUGAUUACGUCCCUGCCCUUUGUACACACCGCCCGUCGCACCUACCGAUUGAAUGACUCGGUGAAAUCCCCGGACUUUGGCUUAGAGACCCUCGGGUCACUUAGCUGUUGGAAGCGGAUAAACCUCGUAUUAGAGAAGGAGCGACUGAUUUUAAA